UGCAAGGUGUUACCAAAAGGUAUUUACAG
Molecule: non-coding RNA, 29 nt
Filed under: Mus musculus (house mouse)
Lineage: Eukaryota; Metazoa; Chordata; Mammalia; Rodentia; Muridae
Source: RNAcentral